GAUUGGGUGUCCAAAUUUAUCCCAAAUCCAGGUUUUAUCCCAGGCUGGGCUCUCCUGGGCUUCCUGACCUGUGUGAUCAGGGAUUGGGUAUCCAAAUUUAUCCCAAAUCCAGGUUUUAUCCCAAUGACAAGGAUACAAUUCUCCAUACAGGGAAUAAUAUAUAUAUAUAUACACAAAUAUAUAAUUCUCAGCACAGGGAGAAAGCUCUAAUCCGUGUUCCAGCCACUGUGAGCUCCCUCCUCCUGUCCUUUCCCUCCAUCCUUUCCCUGAGGAAAAGCAAAGCAGAGGUUCUUGCUUGCCCUGGUGAAGAACUGAGGAUUCCCUGGGGGAGCAGGGCUGGGAUCCCCCCGAGCUCCCCACCCUGCACAGCGCUGUGGAUUCUCCCCCUCUCCUCAGGCGCCUUCGUUUCCAGAACUUUCUCCAGGUUUCGGGGUGGCAGAAGAUGGUGGUGACGGACUGGACGGGUCACCCGGCAAUCACAGGAUUUGCACAACUCUGGGAAAAAUAAAACAAAACCAACUUUUGUUUAGUUCCUACCGUGGCAGAGGAGAGCGAAGAGAGCGGGAUUUGGGAGCCAGGGCGUCGUUGGCUGACUGAUCCCUUUGUAACAGAGCAGAGUUUUCCAGGGAAAACUCCGGAACACAGAACCCAAAGCAAUUUAUUUUCUGUUUGCAGACCAGGGUGACAGCAUUAAGGUAGCUCAAACUUCUUGACAGUGUCCUUUUAAGUCAAUUAUCCGUCUUCAAAUGGACUCUUCCUGAUGUUUAUAUUUAUAAAUACCAAUAAACACCAUUUUCCAA
This is a long non-coding RNA of Parus major (Great Tit), 800 nucleotides long. RefSeq lists it as uncharacterized. The record is from RefSeq and is a predicted model, not a curated record. Lineage: Eukaryota; Metazoa; Chordata; Aves; Passeriformes; Paridae. The transcript is spliced from 2 exons.